UCAGUACGGUCGGAAAUCGUACGUAGAGUGUAAAGGCAAAAGAGAGCUUGAUUGCAAGACAUACAGGUCGAGCAAGGAUGAAAAUCGGACUUAGUGAUCCGGUGGUUCUGCGUGGAAGGGCCAUCGCCCAACGGAUAAAAGCUACCCUGGGGAUAACAGGCUUAUCUCCCCCAAGAGUCCACAUCGACGGGGAGGUUUGGCACCUCGAUGUCGGCUCAUCACAUCCUGGGGC
RNAcentral lists this ribosomal RNA (232 nucleotides) under Clostridioides difficile. RNAcentral describes it as "partial 23S ribosomal RNA". It matches the Rfam family "Bacterial large subunit ribosomal RNA", at positions 2322 to 2553 of the family's 2925-position model. Lineage: Bacteria; Bacillati; Bacillota; Clostridia; Peptostreptococcales; Peptostreptococcaceae. The record is from RNAcentral.